AUGAUGCUCUACGAAAUCCACUCCCAUGCCCAAAUCCAAGACCUGCAGGCCCGCUCCGAUGAGCUGGGCCACCCCGAAGGCAUAAUGGGUGUGGAUCUUGUCUCUCUGGAGUCGGUGCGCAUAGCGCGCGAGUCGUAUGCACUCCUCUGCCCGCUGAUCAAGGAGUUUGUGUUCUGGGGAUGCCCGCAGCUGAAAAACCUCUCGGUCGUGGCACGCUUGUCGCUGGAAAUCCAAAUGCUCGAGCAUGAUGUGUUACCCCAGCUUAAGGUUCAGGAAGCCAAGCUGGAACAGGGCGCCCUGGAAGCCCUCCUACUCAUGAAGAACUCAGCAGUUAUCCUCUUAGAUCUGAGGAAGCGCUUUAUGUUAGCCUUGGGCGUAUUGCUUGCCGAGGACGAUCUGGUCUUAGCCCGAGUCAAAAAGCUGAGCAUAAUGCUAAAGGAUACUGCUGAUGCUGUACUCAAAGGUGAUGGUAACAUUGCCUGGCUUGAGGAGCGUGUCCUGUUGCUGGUCCAUCUGGUCACCAAUGUGCUGGAGACCCCGGUUCGUUUCUAUGAUCCUGAUGAGGACGAUGAGUAG
Molecule: ribosomal RNA, 576 nt
Filed under: Triticum aestivum (bread wheat)
Lineage: Eukaryota; Viridiplantae; Streptophyta; Magnoliopsida; Poales; Poaceae
Description: partial small subunit ribosomal RNA
Source: RNAcentral